CCUACGGGUGGCAGCAGUCGAGAAUCAUUCACAAUGGGGGAAACCCUGAUGGUGCGACGCCGCGUGGGGGAAUGCAGGUCUUCGGAUUGUAAACCCCUGUCAUGUGGGAGCAAAUUAAAAAGAUAGUACCACAAGAGGAAGAGACGGCUAACUCUGUGCCAGCAGCCGCGGUAAUACAGAGGUCUCAAGCGUUGUUUGGCAUCAUUGGGCGUAAAGGGUGCGUAGGCUGUUUCGUAAGUCGUGUGUGAAAGGCGCGGGCUCAACCCGCGGACGGCAAAUAAUACCGCGAGACUAGAGAAAAGGAGCGGGAACCGGAAUGCACGGUGUAGCAGUGAAAUGCUUAGAUAUC
Molecule: ribosomal RNA, 349 nt
Filed under: uncultured bacterium
Lineage: Bacteria
Description: partial 16S ribosomal RNA
Rfam family: Bacterial small subunit ribosomal RNA
Source: RNAcentral